GAACUGAGGGCCCCCUGGGUUCGCGGGGGCGGGGUGCCUCCUCCUGUGCUUGCGGCUGUGGGCGAGGCAAGACGAGGCAGGCCCGACCUCCGGCCGGCUUUUCGUGUACCUGUCCCUGUCGCGGGCCCAGCACCCACGCUCGCCCCUCCGGCGCCCGAGGUCAAGGCGUCCCUGGCUCUGUCAGCUCUCUCUGCUCUGUCCCCGCCCAGCUGGAAGCUUGGGUCUAAGAAGCAGCAGCUAGGUGAAGAGUGGAGUCACCUCUUUCUCGUUUUCGUGGACCUCACUUUCUACCCCAUAGAGUUUCAUUUUCUGUUCCUCAAGCGGAGACUUGCUAGCCAAGUGCAUCAAUCGUUGUCAAACCCGAAGUCUGGAGGAAAAAACCUAUAUUCGAUCUUGAGGGGAUCCUGCAGAACAUACAGCCAAGAGUUCGAGGGGACCUUCCGUUCCCCAGCUGUAGUAAUUAAUAGUGAUAACAGUAGUCUCUCAUCUUUGCACAGAUUGCAAGACCAUUCCUCAUCAUAUCACUUAACUUAUAUUAUCAUUUGGUAGGAUGAUUAUUCUCAUUUGAUAGGUGAUGAAACUGCUAGGUAAAAGUUCCUGGUCUCUCUGAGUGUUACCCAAGUGCUGUGGCCUCAGCGUCUGCCCUACUACCCCGCUGUUCUCUUUGUUCCUGUCACCCUGCCCUCAGAACUUUUUGAGCCAGAGUGUGAUCCUGGAGCUGAUAUUUGUAUUUGUGAGAGUACCAGAAUGGAGUAUAUUGAGCCCACUUUAGUUGCUUUUCAAUUACUAGAUUGGAAGGUAAAAGAAUCAACAGUUUGACCUUGACAAUCCUGUUAUGAACCAUCUAGAAAAUUGACUGUGACUGCCAGAUGGCUUUUUCACUCUUAACUUGACAAUCCUAGGAAGGUGGUGUUACCCACAAAGGUUCAAUGUCAAGCAUGUAUUUUAAUAAAAAUAAAGGAAGCAAGCAUUUGUGGACA
Bubalus bubalis (water buffalo) is the source of this 980-nucleotide long non-coding RNA. RefSeq lists it as uncharacterized. The transcript has 2 exons. The record is from RefSeq and is a predicted model, not a curated record. NCBI's taxonomy places the organism in Eukaryota, Metazoa, Chordata, Mammalia, Artiodactyla, Bovidae.